Molecule: ribosomal RNA, 500 nt
Filed under: uncultured bacterium
Lineage: Bacteria
Description: partial 16S ribosomal RNA
Rfam family: Bacterial small subunit ribosomal RNA
Source: RNAcentral
AUUGAACGCUGGCGGCAUGCUUUACACAUGCAAGUCGAACGGUAACAGGGUGCUUGCACCGCUGGCGAGUGGCGAACGGGUGAGUAAUGCGUCGGAACGUGCCGAGUAGUGGGGGAUAACGCAGCGAAAGUUGUGCUAAUACCGCAUACGUACUGAGGUAGAAAGUGGGGGACCUUCGGGCCUCACGCUAUUCGAGCGGCCGACGUCUGAUUAGCUAGUAGGUGAGGCAAAGGCUCACCUAGGCGACGAUCAGUAGCGGGUCUGAGAGGAUGGUCCGCCACACUGGGACUGAGACACGGCCCAGACUCCUACGGGAGGCAGCAGUGGGGAAUUUUGGACAAUGGGCGAAAGCCUGAUCCAGCCAUGCCGCGUGUCUGAAGAAGGCCUUCGGGUUGUAAAGGACUUUUGUCAGGGAGGAAAUCCCUAGUGCUAAUAACACUGGGGGAUGACAGUACCUGAAGAAUAAGCACCGGCUAACUACGUGCCAGCCGCCGCCGUAA